Molecule: transfer RNA, 71 nt
Filed under: Phyllomyza sp.
Lineage: Eukaryota; Metazoa; Arthropoda; Insecta; Diptera; Milichiidae
Description: tRNA-Val
Rfam family: tRNA
About the family: Transfer RNA (tRNA) molecules are approximately 80 nucleotides in length. Their secondary structure includes four short double-helical elements and three loops (D, anti-codon, and T loops).
Source: RNAcentral
CAAUUUAAAGCUAAAAUAUAAAGCAUUUCAUUUACAUUGAAAAGAAUUUUGUGUAAUUCAAUAUAAAUUGA